UACGUAGGCAGCAAGCGUUGUUCGGAGUUACUGGGCGUAAAGGGUGUGUAGGCGGUUAUUUAAGUUUGGUGUGAAAUCUCCCGGCUCAACCGGGAGGGUGCGCCGAAUACUGAAUGACUUGGAGUGCGGGAGAGAAAAGUGGAAUUCCUGGUGUAGCGGUGAAAUGCGUAGAUAUCAGGAGGAACACCGGUGGUGUAGACGGCUUUCUGGACCGUAACUGACGCUGAGACACGAAAGCGUGGGUAGCAAACAGG
Molecule: ribosomal RNA, 254 nt
Filed under: uncultured bacterium
Lineage: Bacteria
Description: partial 16S ribosomal RNA
Rfam family: Bacterial small subunit ribosomal RNA
Source: RNAcentral